GCCGAGCUCGGUAAUGUGAGCUUGUAACUCAAAUGAGGGCUUUAGAGUGGUUGAAAGCGGGCCAAGCCCUAACGGGUAGGGUUUCUUGGAGAAUUACACUGAACCGCCCAUUCCAAGUACGAAGAUGGGCCUUGGGCUCUUGGCGAAGGCCUUGAGUCCUUUGCCCUUAGAGAUGGAGGAUACAGCGUGAGGCUGGUUUCACAGAGCAGCGUUACCUCCCGCUUCUGUCGGUGGAAGGAUUACGGGCCGGCUCUCUUAGGGCCCGAACAUACCUGGUGGGUACACCUCAGUCUAACAACCACUUUU
This 306-nucleotide signal recognition particle RNA is filed under the name Cucumis sativus (cucumber). Its description in RNAcentral is "SRP RNA Plant_SRP". It matches the Rfam family "Plant signal recognition particle RNA". Lineage: Eukaryota; Viridiplantae; Streptophyta; Magnoliopsida; Cucurbitales; Cucurbitaceae. The record is from Rfam by way of RNAcentral.